RNAcentral lists this ribosomal RNA (492 nucleotides) under uncultured bacterium. RNAcentral's name for it is "partial 16S ribosomal RNA". It matches the Rfam family "Bacterial small subunit ribosomal RNA", at positions 29 to 507 of the family's 1533-position model. The record is from RNAcentral.
AGUGAACGCUGGCGGCAGGCUUAACACAUGCAAGUCGAACGGCAGCACAGUACUAGCUUGCUCUAACGGGUGGAGAGUGGUGGACGGCAGGGGAAUACACUGGAAUCUACUUUUUCGUAGGGGGUAGCGCAGGGAUACUUACGCUAAUACAGCAUACCACCUACGGGUGAAUGCAGGGGAUCUUCGUACCUUGCGCGAUUGAAUGAGCCGAUGUCGGAUUAGCUAGUUGGCGGGGUAAAGGCCCACCAAGGCGACGAUCCGUGGCUGGUCUGAGAGGAUGAUCAGCCACACUGGAACUGAGGCACGGUCAUGACUCCUACGGGAGGCACCAGUGGGGAAUAUUGGACAAUUGGCGCAAGCCGGAUCCAGCCAUACCGCGUGGGUGAGGGAGGCCUUCGGGUUGUAAAGCCCCUGUCUUGGGACAGAAAAGCACCAGGGUGAUACCCCGCUGUUCUGACGGUACCCAAGGAAUAAGCACCGGCUAACUCCGUG